GAUGGCUCGGUUGGUUAGAGCGCGGUGCUGAUAACGCCAAGGUGGCAGGUUUGAGCCCCGUAAGGCA
Molecule: non-coding RNA, 67 nt
Organism: Podarcis lilfordi (Lilford's wall lizard)
Lineage: Eukaryota; Metazoa; Chordata; Lepidosauria; Squamata; Lacertidae
Source: the annotation of a GenBank genome assembly